CCAGAGGGUCGGGCGAUCGCUGCGCAUCGUUUAUGCGGUGCGGGGAGGAAAGUCCGGGCUCCAAGGAGUGAAGGUGCCGGGUAACGCCCGGCGGGGGGCGUAAGCCCUUCAGGGAUAGUGCCACAGAAAACAUACCGCCCGGCGGGCCGGCUUGCCGGUUCCGGGUAAGGUCGAAACGGUGCGGCAAGAGCGCACCGCGGGCCCGGCAACGGGAACGGCAUGGCAAACCCCACCUGGAGCAAGAUCGAAUAGGGACGGCGCAUGGGCUACUCCGCCCAGUCGUCCGGGUUGAUUGCUGGAGGCCGUGCGCAAGCCCGGUCCUAGAGGAAUGAUCGCCCAUCCGGUGGCAACACCGGUGGACAGAACCCGGCUUACAGACCCUCUGGCCAU
Molecule: RNase P RNA, 390 nt
Filed under: Sphingomonas sp. YR710
Lineage: Bacteria; Pseudomonadati; Pseudomonadota; Alphaproteobacteria; Sphingomonadales; Sphingomonadaceae
Description: Bacterial RNase P class A
Rfam family: Bacterial RNase P class A
About the family: Ribonuclease P (RNase P) is a ubiquitous endoribonuclease, found in archaea, bacteria and eukarya as well as chloroplasts and mitochondria. Its best characterised activity is the generation of mature 5'-ends of tRNAs by cleaving the 5'-leader elements of precursor-tRNAs. Cellular RNase Ps are ribonucleoproteins.
Source: Rfam by way of RNAcentral